This 616-nucleotide ribosomal RNA is filed under the name Miriquidica nigroleprosa. RNAcentral describes it as "eukaryotic LSU rRNA". It matches the Rfam family "Eukaryotic large subunit ribosomal RNA", at positions 248 to 884 of the family's 3401-position model. The record is from RNAcentral. Lineage: Eukaryota; Fungi; Ascomycota; Lecanoromycetes; Lecanorales; Lecanoraceae.
GAAACCCCUUCGACGAGUCGAGUUGUUUGGGAAUGCAGCUCAAAAUGGGUGGUAAAUUUCAUCUAAAGCUAAAUACCGGCCAGAGACCGAUAGCGCACAAGUAGAGUGAUCGAAAGAUGAAAAGCACUUUGGAAAGAGAGUCAAAAAGUACGUGAAAUUGUUGAAAGGGAAGCGCUUGCAACCAGACCUGUCCGCCGGCGAUCAACCUCCGUUCUCGGGGGUGCACUCGUCGGCGAUCAGGCCAGCAUCGAUUCGAGCGGUCGGACAAAGGCCUUGGGAAUGUAUCUCCUCUCGGGGAGUCUUAUAGCCCUCGGCGCAAUGCGGCCAGCUCAGAUCGAGGACCGCGCUUCGGCUAGGAUGCUGGCACAAUGGUUGUAAGCGACCCGUCUUGAAACACGGACCAAGGAGUCUAACAUCUAUGCAAGUGUUUGGGUGUCAAACCCAUACGCGGAAUGAAAGUGAACGGAGGUGAGAACCCACAAGGGCGCAUCAUCGACCGAUCCAGAUGUCUUCGGAUGGAUUUGAGUACGAGCAUAGCUGUUGGGACCCGAAAGAUGGUGAACUAUGCCUGAAUAGGGUGAAGCCAGAGGAAACUCUGGUGGAGGCUCGCAGCGGU